Molecule: ribosomal RNA, 497 nt
Filed under: uncultured bacterium
Lineage: Bacteria
Description: partial 16S ribosomal RNA
Rfam family: Bacterial small subunit ribosomal RNA
Source: RNAcentral
GAUGAACGCUGGCGGCGUGCCUAAUACAUGCAAGUCGAGCGAACAGACGAGGAGCUUGCUCCUCUGACGUUAGCGGCGGACGGGUGAGUAACACGUGGAUAACCUACCUAUAAGACUGGGAUAACUUCGGGAAACCGGAGCUAAUACCGGAUAAUAUAUUGAACCGCAUGGUUCAAUAGUGAAAGACGGUUUUGCUGUCACUUAUAGAUGGAUCCGCGCCGCAUUAGCUAGUUGGUAAGGUAACGGCUUACCAAGGCAACGAUGCGUAGCCGACCUGAGAGGGGGGAUCGGCAACACUGAAACGGAGACCCGGUCCAGCCUCCUAGGGGAGGCAGAGGAAGGAAACCUUCCGCAUUGGGCGAAGGCCUGCGGGAGAACCGCGGGGUGGGUGAUGAAGGUCUUCGGAUCGAAAACCCCUGUUAUAAGGAAAGAAAAAAUGUGAAAGUACUUAGGAACGUCUUGACGGUACCUAUCAGAAAGCCACGGCUAACUACGUG